This 399-nucleotide ribosomal RNA is filed under the name uncultured bacterium. Its description in RNAcentral is "bacterial SSU rRNA". It matches the Rfam family "Bacterial small subunit ribosomal RNA", at positions 361 to 776 of the family's 1533-position model. The record is from RNAcentral.
AUAUUGCACAAUGGGGGAAACCCUGAUGCAGCAACGCCGCGUGGGUGAAGGAGCGUUUCGGCGCGUAAAGCCCUGUCAGCGGGGAAGAAGAAAGACGGUACCCGACCAAGAAGCCCCGGCUAGCUACGCACCAGCAGCCGCGGUAAUACGUAGGGGGCGAGCGUUAUCCGGAAUUACUGGGUGUAAAGGGAGCGUAGACGGCGGGGUAAGCCUGAAGUGGAAGCCCGCGGCCCAACCGCGGAACUGCUUUGGGAACUGUUUUGCUGGAGUAUGGGAGGGGUAAGCGGAAUUCCUGGUGUAGCGGUGAAAUGCGUAGAUAUCAGGAGGAACACCGGUGGCGAAGGCGGCUUACUGGACCAUAACUGACGUUGAGGCUCGAAAGCGUGGGGAGCGAACAGG